Molecule: ribosomal RNA, 254 nt
Filed under: uncultured bacterium
Lineage: Bacteria
Description: partial 16S ribosomal RNA
Rfam family: Bacterial small subunit ribosomal RNA
Source: RNAcentral
UACGUAGGGUGCAAGCGUUGUCCGGAAUUAUUGGGCGUAAAGAGCUCGUAGGUGGCGGGUCACGUCGGGUGUGAAAGCCCGGGGCUUAACCCCGGGUCUGCAUUCGAUACGGGUCUGCUGGGGUCCGGGCAGGGGAGACUGGAAUUCCUGGUGUAGCGGUGAAAUGCGCAGAUAUCAGGAGGAACACCGGUGGCGAAGGCGGGUCUCUGGGCCGGUACCGACGCUGAGGAGCGAAAGCGUGGGGAGCGAACAGG